RNAcentral lists this long non-coding RNA (1550 nucleotides) under Canis lupus dingo (dingo). RNAcentral's name for it is "lncRNA (ENSCAFG00020016806.1)". Lineage: Eukaryota; Metazoa; Chordata; Mammalia; Carnivora; Canidae. The record is from RNAcentral.
UAUAAAUUCCCUGUUCUCUCUUUACCAUGUCAUUCAUGGAGAUGUUUUAAGGUCAUUUUCAACCAUUUGGCAAAAAUAGAAGGUAAGUAACUGCUUUAAAAUAAGGUCAACUAAGCCCACAACUGGCUAUGAUUAUCAGUCUUCCUCAGAGUUUUCAGACUAAAAGUUAAAUAUUCAAAAAGAAACUAACAUAGCAAUUUAUGUAUAGCACAGUGCAUUCGUAAAAAUCUGUUGUUCACACAAAAAGUCUAGAUGUCUUUGAUUUUCACCACCAACAUUAUGUUUUCUGAGGCUCCAAAUAUGAAAAUGAAAACACUCACGUUAGGUCACCUAAAAGUCACUGGAAAGAAAUCCCCCAAAUAAGGAGCAUCUUGCAAAACAGAAAGAGGAGAAGCCCCAGACUACAAAGUUUAAUAAAAUUAAACUUAGCAAAAGUAUGAUUUUAAUGUUAUCUUCAAAUAAAAUCCAUCAAAUAUUGAAUCAAGAAUUGGGGAGUGUCAAAGGGUCUAGUUGGAGGAAUUCAACAAGUAUUUGUUCAAUAAAUGAAUAAAUUACAUUAAUUUUCAAAAUAUUCCAUAAAUAAUAGUACUAAGGUGAGGGCCAAAUGCAGAUAAAUAACCUUCUGUACCCUUCCUGUGAAAUUUCACCAGCCGUCUUAUUCCUUUACAUUCACAGUCUUUCUCUCCUCUUCCCAUCCCCAAAUAUUUAGUAGUGUGUGAUUUUGCAGACCCUCUGCAAAUCCAAAAACUGCAACGGUUAUUAUCCACUGGCUUUGAAACAGGUUGCAACCUGUAGAGGGUAGAUUCUCCAACACUGUUUUUUAAAUUGUUCUAAUUUAACCUUUGCUAAUCUCUCCAUCCUUCACCCUCAGAUCAUGACAAUCAUUCUGCACAUAUGGGACUCAACAUGUUUGUUAAUUUCAAUUGCUAUUCAGCCCCUCAGCUGAGUGCAUUUGUGCAGUGAACAAACCACACAACAGUGUGCAAUGGUGUUGCUCAUUCUCCUCUUACUCCUGCUCUAUUUUUCUUUACAAUGCUGUUACUAUGUAACAUACUAAAUUCUAGCUUAUUCAUUUCUUAUCUGUUUCUCCCACCCAAAUAGCAGCUUCAAGAGGGAAUGGACUGUGACUCUUUUGUUCCUUAUUAUAUCCCUAUGCUGCAGAAUAGUCUCUAGGAUGUGGUAAGUGUUUAACAAAUAUUGGUUGAAUAAGUGAACUAAUUAAAUUAUUCUUUUAAAUACUCCAUAAAUAAUAAUGUUGUGGUGAGGAGGGAAUAUAGACAGUCUUCUCUAUUACCUUUUGAAACUGUCAACCAUUUUUUUCCUUUCUGUCUGCCAUUCACUCUCUUUCUCUCCUCCUCCCCAUAUAGCAACAAUGUGAUAUUGCAAAUCUGAAAACUGCAAUGGUUUUUAUCCAUUGGCUUUGAAACAGGUUGCAACUUGUAGAAAGCAACUUAUCUUUAUCUGUAUUAAAACCAGUUUACUCUGCCUUUCAAAAGUGGCUUGCAAAUGUCUCUCUUGUGCUGGGGCUGUGGAGCCAUAGGCUGAAUGGG